CGCGUGGGUAACCUGCCUCACACAGGGGGAUAACAGUUGGAAACGACCGCUAAUACCGCAUAAGCCAACAGGGGCGCAUGCUCUGGUUGGAAAAGAUUAAUCGGUGUGAGAUGGACCCGCGUCUGAUUAGCCAGUUGGCAGGGUAACGGCCUACCAAAGCGACGAUCAGUAGCCGGCCUGAGAGGGUGAACGGCCACAUUGGGACUGAGACACGGCCCAAACUCCUACGGGAGGCAGCAGUGGGAAAUAUUGCACAAUGGGGGAAACCCUGAUGCAGCGACCCCGCGUGAGUGAAGAAGUAUUUCGGUAUGUAAAGCUCUAUCAGCAGGGAAGAAAAUGACGGUACCUGACUAAGAAGCCCCGGCUAACUACGUGCCAGCAGCCGCGGUAAUACGUAGGGGGCAAGCGUUAUCCGGAUUUACUGGGUGUAAAGGGAGCGUACACGGUGAUGCAAGUCAGAAGUGAAAGCCCGGGGCUCAACUCCGGGACUGCUUUUGAAACUGUGUAACUGGAGUGCAGGAGAGGUAAGCGGAAUUCCUAGUGUAGCGGUGAAAUGCGUAUAUAUUAGGAGGAACACCAGUGGCGAAGGCGGCUUACUGGACUGUAACUGAC
Molecule: ribosomal RNA, 612 nt
Filed under: uncultured bacterium
Lineage: Bacteria
Description: bacterial SSU rRNA
Rfam family: Bacterial small subunit ribosomal RNA
Source: RNAcentral